RNAcentral lists this ribosomal RNA (253 nucleotides) under uncultured bacterium. RNAcentral's name for it is "partial 16S ribosomal RNA". It matches the Rfam family "Bacterial small subunit ribosomal RNA", at positions 524 to 776 of the family's 1533-position model. The record is from RNAcentral.
UACGGGGGGGGCAAGCGUUGUUCGGAAUUACUGGGCGUAAAGGGCUUGUAGGUGGCCAACUAAGUCAGACGUGAAAUCCCUCGGCUUAACCGGGGAACUGCGUCUGAUACUGGAUGGCUUGAGUGUGGGAGAGGGAUGCGGAAUUCCAGGUGUAGCGGUGAAAUGCGUAGAUAUCUGGAGGAACACCGGCGGCGAAGGCGGCAUCCUGGACCAUUACUGACACUGAUAAGCGAAAGCCAGGGGAGCAAACGGG